GCACUGCUGAGCAGUCCCACAAUAGGUCGAAACGACCGUCCAGUGC
Molecule: non-coding RNA, 46 nt
Filed under: Schistosoma curassoni
Lineage: Eukaryota; Metazoa; Platyhelminthes; Trematoda; Strigeidida; Schistosomatidae
Source: RNAcentral